ACAGAAGUAUGAUAUUUUUGUUAAAUAUGUCAUGUAAUUAGGUCAAGGUUAACAAAUAAUAUACGAAUACGUUAUCCUGCUGUUUGGUAACGACUUAAAUUAAUAUGAAAGAAAAAAUAAUGAGGAUCAUCAACAUUUGAAAGUUGUAUUGUCUAUUUUCAGACAGAAGACAUGCCAUGGAGAUGUAACCAAUGCAACAGGCUCACUUGCACACUGCUUAAUAUAAUAUUGAGCUUAUACUUGUAAAUUUGGGACAUCAAACUUGCAAUCUCAUAAUGCAAAUGAACACAUGAGAUACUAAAUGGUGGAUACUGCUCCACAUAAAUCAUCUCCAAUCCAGUACACCUCUUUUUCUAAUUAGAGUAUGAGUUCGGCCAUUUCGACUUUUCUUCCAACGCGGUGUGGUCGUUACUCUUGCACAAUUGAGAGUAAGGAUUGCACAAAAUGGUGAAUGGAAGAAUACCUUCAGUUUUCUCAAAAACUUAUGUUACCCCAAGAAGACCUUAUGAAAAGGCUCGUUUAGAUCAAGAAUUACGAAUUAUUGGUGAAUAUGGUCUUCGCAACAAGCGUGAAGUAUGGAGAGUUAAAUAUACUCUCGCAAAUAUCCGAAAAGCUGCUCGAGAACUUCUUACUUUAGAAGAGAAGGAUCCUAAACGUUUAUUUGAGGGAAAUGCUCUUUUACGACGUUUGGUAAGAAUUGGAGUGCUAGAUGAAAGCCGUAUGAAGCUUGAUUAUGUUCUUGGUUUGAAGAUUGAAGAUUUCUUAGAAAGACGACUUCAAACUCAAGUAUUUAAAUUGGGACUUGCUAAGUCUAUACAUCAUGCUCGUGUACUUAUUCGUCAACGUCACAUUAGGUGUUCAUACACUUUUCCUGAUUGAUUGUUUCUUCAAAAUGAUAGAAAAAAUAUGACUUAAAUAUUGGAUGGGUAGCUAAGAUGCUCAAGAAUGUGGAGCAAUACAUAUUAUAAUAUUUUCUUUCAGGCAGGCCACUUAAGUGUUAGUGAAACUACACUUAACGUCUGUUAUAUAUUAAUGGAUAUAUAUUCAUUUUAAAAAUAAUUGAGUACGCAAACAAGUGGUGAACAUUCCAUCUUUCAUUGUAAGAUUGGAUUCACAGAAACAUAUUGACUUUUCGCUAAAAUCUCCAUUUGGUGGUGGUAGACCUGGUCGUGUAAAGAGGAAGAAUCUGCGUAAAGGAAGUGGAGGAGCUGCUCCAGAGGAAGAAGAAGAUUAAAUAAUUUUUUGUAAUACUUUAUACUAAUAAAAGUAUGUCUUAAAUGUUA
Apis florea (little honeybee) is the source of this 1283-nucleotide unclassified non-coding RNA. The record is from RefSeq and is a predicted model, not a curated record. Lineage: Eukaryota; Metazoa; Arthropoda; Insecta; Hymenoptera; Apidae.